GAUGAACGCUGGCGGCGUGCCUAAUACAUGCAAGUCGAGCGAACGGACGCGAAGCUUGCUUCUCUGAUGUUAGCGGCGGAGGGGUGAGUAACACGUGGAUAACCUACCUAUAAGACUGGGAUAACUUCGGGAAACCGGAUCUAAUACCGGAUAAUAUUUUGAACCGCAUGGUUCAAAAGUGAAAGACGGUCUUUGUGUCACUUAUAGAUGGAUCCGCGCUGCAUUAGCUAGUUGGUAAGGUAACGGCUUACCAAGGCAACGAUGCAUAGCCGACCUGAGAGGGUGAUCGGCCACACGGGAACUGAGACACGGUCCAGACUCCUACGGGAGGCAGCAGUAGGGAAUCUUCCGCAAUGGGCGAAAGCCUGACGGAGCAACGCCGCGGGAGUGAUGAAGGUCUUCGGAUCGGAAAACUCUGUUAUGAGGGAAGAACAUAUGUGUAAGUAACUGUGCAGAUCGUGACGGUACCGAAUCAGAAAGCCACGGCUAACUACGUG
Molecule: ribosomal RNA, 497 nt
Filed under: uncultured bacterium
Lineage: Bacteria
Description: partial 16S ribosomal RNA
Rfam family: Bacterial small subunit ribosomal RNA
Source: RNAcentral